RNAcentral lists this transfer RNA (56 nucleotides) under Meloidogyne exigua. Its description in RNAcentral is "tRNA-Ile". Lineage: Eukaryota; Metazoa; Nematoda; Chromadorea; Rhabditida; Meloidogynidae. The record is from RNAcentral.
AUUAUUUAUAUAUAUUGAAUUGAUAUUUCAAAGAUUUUCUAAAUGAAAUUAAUAUU